Molecule: ribosomal RNA, 547 nt
Filed under: uncultured bacterium
Lineage: Bacteria
Description: partial 16S ribosomal RNA
Rfam family: Bacterial small subunit ribosomal RNA
Source: RNAcentral
UGGGGAAUUUUGGACAAUGGGGGCAACCCUGAUCCAGCAAUGCCGCGUGUGUGAAGAAGGCCUUCGGGUUGUAAAGCACUUUUGUCCGGAAAGAAAACGUCGUGGUUAAUACCCGUGGCGGCUGACGGUACCGGAAGAAUAAGCACCGGCUAACUACGUGCCAGCAGCCGCGGUAAUACGUAGGGUGCAAGCGUUAAUCGGAAUUACUGGGCGUAAAGCGUGCGCAGGCGGUCCGCUAAGACAGAUGUGAAAUCCCCGGGCUUAACCUGGGAACUGCAUUUGUGACUGGCGGGCUAGAGUAUGGCAGAGGGGGGUAGAAUUCCACGUGUAGCAGUGAAAUGCGUAGAGAUGUGGAGGAAUACCGAUGGCGAAGGCAGCCCCCUGGGCCAAUACUGACGCUCAUGCACGAAAGCGUGGGGAGCAAACAGGAUUAGAUACCCUGGUAGUCCACGCCCUAAACGAUGUCAACUAGUUGUCGGGUCUUCAUUGACUUGGUAACGUAGCUAACGCGUGAAGUUGACCGCCUGGGGAGUACGGUCGCAAGAUU